RNA transcript from Leptopilina boulardi, 1856 nucleotides. It is a transcript of the gene named microtubule-associated protein RP/EB family member 1, with no coding region annotated. The record is from RefSeq and is a predicted model, not a curated record. The transcript has 8 exons. NCBI's taxonomy places the organism in Eukaryota, Metazoa, Arthropoda, Insecta, Hymenoptera, Figitidae.
GUUUGACAGUUUAUGAAAAAAUUGAUUAUUCACGUUCAACAAGUUUUUAUUACUCCUUUAAACUAAAACUAGUUAUUAUAAAAUUAAAACCCAAGUAUUUUCCAAUUAUUGAUAUAAAUAUUUGUUUUUCAUCAAUGGACGUCUAACCCAAUCAUAUAUUUAGAAACCGUUAGAAAUUUCCGUUGUAUACGCUUUUUAAACGUUCUAGGCACAUUUGUCAUUUUACGUGCGGAAACCACUCCCGUGGUGUGAGCGGCAUUUUUGCAAAAAUUUGUGACUGAUAAUUAUCAAAUAAAGAAAUCAGGAUGGCUGUAAACGUUUAUGCGACAAAUGUAACGACGGAGAAUCUCAGUCGACAUGAUAUGCUAGCAUGGGUCAAUGAUUGCCUUCAGUCAUCAUUUACCAAAAUCGAGGAACUCUGUACCGGCGCAGCGUACUGCCAAUUUAUGGACAUGCUUUUCCCUGGAAGCGUUCCGCUCAAACGAGUUAAAUACAGAACCAAUUUAGAACACGAAUACAUACAAAAUUUCAAAAUACUCCAAGGUGGCUUUAAAAAGAUGAAUGUAGAUAAGAUUGUACCAAUCGAUAAGCUGGUGAAAGGGCGAUUCCAAGACAACUUUGAGUUUUUGCAGUGGUUUAAGAAGUUUUUUGACGCAAAUAAUGCAGGAUCAGAAUCCUAUGAUGCACUUGCAAUGAGAGGAGGAGAAGCAAUGGGUAGCGGUGGUCAUAAUGCACCACGUGGUACUGGAAUUGUCAAAAGAACAACAACCCCUCGUGAAAUAUCAGCUAAACCUGCCUCUCGAACUGGUGAGGGACCACCGUCUCCAAUUCAUGUGCCUAUCAUGAAGUCCGUAGGCCGAUCUUUGAAUAAAGUACCAACAAGUCGUCCUGUACCAAAGACUGGAACAGUUGGAAAUCGUGGAGAUACGGGGAAAGUAGAUGAACUUAGUUCACAGGUAAUGGAAUUGAAAAUGACUGUUGAUGGUCUCGAAAAGGAGAGAGACUUUUACUUUGGAAAGCUGAGAGAAAUCGAACUUAUGUGCCAAGAACCAGAAAGUGAAGAACCCUCUCCAAUUGUGCGAAAAAUUCUAGAUGUUCUUUAUGCAACUGAGGACGAUGGAAUUGGACAGGAGUGUGAUGAUCAGACGUUUUAAAUACUACUCAAUUGUCUUUUUUCUGUUUAUAUAUAUAAAAAAAAAAAUAAAGGAUGGUUUCGCACCACCUGAAGAGCUAGAGGGACACGGACAUGAUGACGAGGAAGAAUAUUAACUAUAGUGUUUAAAAGAAAAAAAAAUUCAAAUUUUCAUGAAACAGAAGUAAUUAAGACAAGAAUGUUUAAAAAAAACACUAUGCCUCUGCGCUAGUAUCAGUACACCUUGCAUUAUUAGUCCGCUAUUUUUACAUAGCUCACUAUUAAGCGUUUGUGCGUAUUUUUUUUUCUCUUUCUCAAUAUUAUUGUUACAAAGUUUAUUAUUGAUUUUUGUCUUGAAUCUCCACGAAAAUUUUGUUUGAUUUAUCGAAAAGAAAAGAAAAAACGCCAUAUACGCUAAAAAAGAAAUUCGACGAAAAAAAAUAAAUUUUUUUUUUUGUCAACUAAUAACUUCUUUAUUGAAGUCCAAAGCACUCGAAAAGAAAAGUUAUAUUUUGAUUAAUAUUUUCUGUUUAAUUGCAAUCGAUGACUUAAUAUUUAAGGACGACAAAAUAAUUGAAUGCAAAAAAAAAAGAAAAAAUGUAGUGGAGUGUUUUCUAAAUUCUUAUUGUGUUUAAAUGUGCGAGUGUUAAUCUUUUUUAAUAUACCUUUGUAUCGAUACUAUCAUCUUGUAAAAUAAAGUUUUUAGUUUUGGUUCUAAAUAUGA